AAUGGUAUCGAUGGAAGUGGUUACAAAGGAGAUAUUGCUUUGGACCAUAUUUUUCUGUUCUCUGGUAACUGUGGCGAACCUAUUGUACCUAUUGGAGCAUCAAUAAGUCUUGAAGAGGCUUUAACAAUUGCGGAGUUUAUUGGUGUUAUAACUGGAAUACUGGGGUCUGGUGGUGUUGGAGCUAUUGUUAUUGGGUG
This is a long non-coding RNA of Mytilus californianus (California mussel), 197 nucleotides long. RefSeq lists it as uncharacterized. The record is from RefSeq and is a predicted model, not a curated record. NCBI's taxonomy places the organism in Eukaryota, Metazoa, Mollusca, Bivalvia, Mytilida, Mytilidae. The transcript has 3 exons.